AAAGUCGAAAAACUUGCUGUCUGCCUGAUGAACUCACUGAGUCCAUGGGGAGACUCGCCGAGUUCACUUGUAUCUUCAACCUACUCGCCGAGUAGGUUCAUGCACUCGACGAGUAGGAGCCACAGAGUGCAGAUUUUCGACUUUAGUUGCUGGAAAUGGACUAGAAACAUUACCCUAAACUGUUUUGGUACUUGAAAACUUGUUUUAGAUGGUGUAAUGUCUUUGCUAAUCCAUUUACAACAACUAGUUAUCAAAAUUACAAAGUUUUAAGUGUAAUUUUGAUUCAUGAAAGUGAUCAUAUUCAUGUUCUUGAUCUUAUGGUGUUUAGAUGAUCAUAGGAAAUAUUUGUAACCUAUGUAGUAGUUUAAUUCUUGAUCAUAGUGUGUUUUAAUGGAGUCCAUAACUUAUCCUUAAGUUAUGGAAAACCAAGAGUCACUUGAGUUAAAAACCAUUAAGAAAAACACAAGAGUUAUAAAAAUGAAGAGUCUUCAUUUUAUGACUCUAUUAAACUCAUAAGUUACAAGAAAUGAAAAGUUUUGAAAGUUUACAAAACUUGCCCUCAAGUUUUGGAACAAGUAAAGUCAAGUUAAAACUUUAGUUCCAACCCCUAGAAUUUUAAAAGUUAAAAUUCAACCCUUAUACUUAUAUUAUUAUGAUUUAAUAAUUAUAUAUAUAUGUAUAAGAACAAAGUCGUCUUACCGCUAGUACGCCUCAUUCACGAAGCCGGUCUAUAAGGUGGGUAUAAGGUUGUUGCCUAUAAAAUGGUGACUUAAUGGGUGUCCACUCUCACCCACCGCUUGCUUGAUCGGUGGAGGGUCGUUAGCCGAACGGGUAAGACAAGGACUUAUUAAUUCUCAUUCAAAGUAUGAUGAAUAUUAUAAAGUAACUAAAUGUUUUAUUAAAUUCCCAAUCUUAGUUACUUUAGGAAAAAUGUGAAUAAGGUGCUAUUCCAUGAAAUUACACUUUACACUUUGAUUAAGUCGUUGGUGGAGCGUGUGUGGUUAACCGGCACACUAACUUGGACUUAACAAGGUAGGUAAAGGGUGACUUAGGGUUUAUUAUAGUAUCGAUGGAGCGUGUGUGGUUAACCGGCACAUCGAUUGAGUGAUAAACUUUAAGGGUACCAAGUGAUUUGCAUGGUUACUUCACACCUCGUUUUGUGAUCCUCGGUAUCCCAGUCACAAAACUUGGAGGGCACACUCGAGAUUGAAACAUGCCUUUGAAAAGUUCAUUGAAUCUCAAAGAAUCUAGGAAUUUCUAAGAACCAUUCAAAAACCUAAUACUAAAAUAUUGCGGUUUUCGUGGUGGAAAUUGGUGAAUCGUCAUUCACCUACCUUUCAAAUAUGAUAUAGCUUAGAUUACGGCAUACCUCUUCUAAGUUAUAUUAUAUUGUGAUUGGAUCCUAGCCUUAAUAUUACAUUUGGGUGUUUUAUUAAGGACUCUCUUAUAUCUAAACUAAUCUUGUCCUCUUUCCUUCAGAUGUCUUUCAACAAUGCUUCUGGCUCUAAUCCUAAUGGCUCCUUUACCCUUAUGAACUUGUGUGGGAAAGUCACCUUUGAUGGAUCCAACUUCAAUGAGUGGAUCAGAAACAUCAGGAUGAUUACCCGCUACGAGGACAAAGAAUAUGUCCUUGACAAGGAGCUUAAGGAGAUUGAUGAGUCCACUGCAACUCCUCAGGAGAUCGCUGAAUUUCGGGCACAUGAAAGGGAUGCUACGAAAGUGGCUUGCAUCAUGAUGGCCACGAUGACAGCGGAACUCCAAAAGUCUUAUGAGGAUUUCUACCCUUAUGACAUGCACCAAGAUUUGAUGGAAAGAUACCAUCAAAGUGCAAGACAAGAGAGGUAUGAAAUCAUCUGCUCCAUGAUAACAACCAUGAUGAAGGACGGGGAAUCCGUCACGAGCCACAUGCAGAAAAUGCAAAGGUAUGUGGAUCGUUUGCUGAAGCUUAAUGUGAACUUCCCGGAGGAUCUUGCAAUAGAUAUUAUUUUGCAUUCCUUACCAUCGUGCUAUGAUCAAUUCCGCAUGACAUAUCACAUGAACAAGGAAGAAGUCACCCUCAGCAAACUUCAGGGACUUCUCAAGACCGCAGAAACAGGUCUUAAGGGGAAGUCGGUUGCUAUCACUCCUACUCAAAACUCUACUCCGGUUUUGGCAAUCGGGAAAAGUCGAGGGAGGAAGAGAAAGAGCUCUUCUAAGGGUACCAAGGCUCGGACCCUUGAUGGCUCUUCUUCAAGUGGAACCAAGAAAGGUUUCGUUACUCCUUCUUCUGACCCAAAAGAGGCUGAAUGCUUCUAUUGCCAUGAAAAAGCUCAUUGGAAGCGGAACUGCCCAAAAUACCAGCAAGAUGUGAAGGAUGGGAAAGUUAAACCCAACCAUGCAGGUAUUUACACUAUCAUUUCUAAUAACUCACCCCAUUCUAAUUCUUGGGUCCUUGAUACCGGGUGUGGUAUUCACAUUUGUUGUGACUUGCAGGGACUAAGAAGAAGUGAGGAUGUGGAGCAAGGAAGGAUAAACUUGAUCAUGGGGAAUAGGAAAGCUAUACCUGUUACCAAGAUUGGAGUUUAUACUUUAUCGCUAAGUAGUGGGUUUAGUUUAGAUUUGAAUAAGUGUUGUUAUUCGCCAGGAAUGGCAAGAAAUAUUAUUUCCUUUCAUGCUUUGUACAAACAAGGGUUUACCUUUUCAUUUAAUAAUGAAGUUGGUUCUAUAGAUGUUUUCUAUAAUAAUGUCUUUUAUUUUAAAGCAUUACCUUGUGAUGGUGUGUAUGAAGCUGUAUCUGUUGUAGAUAACUUGGGAAAUAAUGUUUUGUGUAUUGAUUCUACUAAUAAUAACUUGGAUAAAGCAUCUUUAUGGCAUUGUCGUCUUGGACAUAUAAGCAAGAAACGCAUAGGCCAACUCCAAAAGGAUGGAGUCUUGGAGUCGUUUGACCUAAAGUCAGAUGAUAGUUGCGAAUCAUGCUUACUUGGAAAAAUGACAAAGUCACCCUUCACAGGUUCGUGUGAGAGGGGUGAAGGUUUGUUGGACCUUAUACACACGGAUGUGUGUGGACCAUUCAAACAUGCCACAAGGGAUGCUAAUCGUUAUUAUUUGACUUUUACUGAUGAUUAUAGUAGAUAUGGAUAUGUCUACUUGAUCAAGCAUAAGUCAGAGACUUUCGAAAGGUUUAAGGAAUUUAAACAGGAAGUCGAGAAUCAAUUGGGCAGGAACAUUAAGAUGCUUCGAUCCGAUCGUGGUGGUGAGUAUCUUAGUUCAGAGUUCCUUGACUAUCUAAGGGAAUGUGGGAUAGUCUCACAAUUGACACCUCCCAGGACACCACAGUUGAAUGGUGUGGCUGAGAGGCGUAAUCGAACCUUGUUAGAUAUGGUUCGUUCCAUGAUGAGUCGAGCUUCGCUACCAAUCUCAUUCUGGGGGUAUGCCUUAGAGACUGCCGCCCAUAUCCUUAAUCUAGUCCCUACAAAGAAAGUUGCCAAAACUCCUCACGAGAUGUGGACUGGUAAAGUACCUAAACUAGACCACAUCAAGAUUUGGGGUUGCGAGGCUUUCGUGAGACGCGAGACUCAUGAUAAGCUCGAACCCCGAAGCGAGAGGUGUAUUUUCAUCGGCUACCCACAACAAUCCUUUGGUUACCUCUUCUACAGACCUAGUGAAAAUGUGGUCUUUGUAGCUAGGAGGGCUUUCUUUAGAGAGAGAGAGUUCAUAAGCCAAGGAAACAGUGGGAGGCAAGUUGAUCUUGAAGAAAUUCAAGAGUCAAGCGGUGAAGGAACUUCAAACCCUAGCACUCAACUUGAGGAGGAAACUCCUGUUGAGCCAAUUGACAAGUCUGUACCUCUGAGGCGUUCCACAAGGGUUAGGAAUGCUCCUGAGCAUUACUAUGGAUUUCAUAUUACUGCAGAAGGAGAUACACUUAUCAGUGAUGGGACACUGAUAGGUCUGGAUGAGCCUAACAGUUGCGCGGAAGCUAUGGCAGGCCCUGAUUCAGCCAAGUGGAAAGAGGCAAUGGAUAGCGAAAUACAGUCCAUGUAUGACAAUCAAGUUUGGAACUUGGUUGAGAAUGUACCAGGUCGUAAGACAGUAGGGUGCAAAUGGGUCUUCAAGAAGAAGACCGACAUGGAUGGUAAAGUACACACUUAUAAGGCUAGACUGGUUGCAAAGGGCUUCUCUCAAAUUCCUGGAGUGGACUAUGAUGAGACCUUUUCUCCAGUAGCCAAGAUUAAGUCUAUUCGGGUUCUGUUNUGCAAAGGGAUUCUCUCAUAUUCCUGGAGUGGACUAUGAUGAGACCUUUUCUCUAGUAGCCAACAUUAAGUCUAUUCGGGUUCUGUUAGCCAUAGCUCCAUUUCAUGACUAUGAAAUAUGGCAAAUGGAUGUCAAAACCGCUUUCCUUAAUGGGAAGUUGGCUGAGGAUGUUUACAUGAGUCAGCCAGAGGGUUUUGUCAGCAACGAGUACCCUAAUAGAGUGUGUAAGCUUGAGAAAUCCAUUUAUGGAUUGAAGCAAGCACCUCGCAGAUGGAAUCUUUGCUUUGAUGAAAAGGUCAAGGAAUUUGGCUUUUCUAGGAGUGAAGAUGAAUCUUGUGUGUAUGUCAAGGCUAGUGGGAGUAUAGUUAGCUUUUUGGUAUUGUAUGUGGAUGACAUACUACUCAUAGGAAACGACAUUCCAACCCUGCAGGAAGUAAAGUCCUGGCUUGGGAAGUGUUUCGCUAUGAAGGACCUUGGUGAAGCUGCCUAUAUUCUAGGGAUAAGAAUCUUGAGAGAUCGGAGUAAAAGACUAAUUGGACUUAGUCAGAGUACCUACUUGGAUAAGGUGCUGAAGAGAUUCAGCAUGCAGGAUUCCAAGAAAGGAGAGUUACCCAUCCAGAGUAACACCAGAUUGAGUAAGACACAAAGCCCUAGCACUGAGGCUGAGAUAGCAGAAAUGAGUCGAACACCUUACGCUUCGGCUGUAGGAUCGAUCAUGUAUGCUAUGACGUGUACUCGACCCGAUGUAGCUUUUGCCUUGAGCAUGGUUAGCAGGUAUCAGGCGAACCCUGGCAAGGCACACUGGACUGCGGUAAAGAAUAUCCUCAAGUACCUACGGAGGACUAAGGACUGGGUCCUUACCCUCGGUGGGAGUGAUNNNNNNNNNNNNNNNNNNNNNNNNNNNNNNNNNNNNNNNNNNNNNNNNNNNNNNNNNNNNNNNNNNNNNNNNNNNNNNNNNNNNNNNNNNNNNNNNNNNNNNNNNNNNNNNNNNNNNNNNNNNNNNNNNNNNNNNNNNNNNNNNNNNNNNNNNNNNNNNNNNNNNNNNNNNNNNNNNNNNNNNNNNNNNNNNNNNNNNNNNNNNNNNNNNNNNNNNNNNNNNNNNNNNNNNNNNNNNNNNNNNNNNNNNNNNNNNNNNNNNNNNNNNNNNNNNNNNNNNNNNNNNNNNNNNNNNNNNNNNNNNNNNNNNNNNNNNNNNNNNNNNNNNNNNNNNNNNNNNNNNNNNNNNNNNNNNNNNNNNNNNNNNNNNNNNNNNNNNNNNNNNNNNNNNNNNNNNNNNNNNNNNNNNAACUAGAGGGCUUGGCCGAUUUUGAGAAGUGUGUGUUAUCUCAAGAGUCUUUCCAAGAGCAUUUGGUGUUGUGUGAAGCAUUUGAGGCAUCACACUUGGGGUGCUAGGCUCACAAGGUUUCAAGGAACACAAGCAACAACAAGGUAAGUUAUUCUAUCUAUGAUUCAAGUUAAAAUUGUUCCCCAUGUAUGCUAGAUAGGAAUAUAACCUUGGAAUUCAACUUUGCAUGAUAAUUAGACAAACAUAGAUCCAAGGUUAUUAGGGUUGUAUGUACACUUAGGAAGUGUUAGAAUGCUCAAAACCCAUCAAUAAGAAUAGUUAUGAUUGAAAGGGGGAGGGACACUCUCAUAACGUAGACCCUUUUCUUGGUUAUUUUUAAAUUGUAAACAAUGGUCUAUCAUGUUAGCAACUACUUCUCUUGACACAUCAAACUCAACAGUUAAUUCAACAAGUUGUCUCUUAACAUAGUCAUAAUUUUCACAUUUAUUGCUAUAAUCUUCCUGAAGCUUCCUAAUGUCUUUGGUUUUUGCUUCUAAUUCAGCCUUCAGGGGUUUUUGUCCUUUCCUGAGUUGAUAUCCUUCAUAUCUCAGGUCCCCAACUUCUCUUUUUAAUAAAUCAAUUUGUUCCUGAAGAAGUUUAAUCGUAGCUUCACAAGAUGGAGCACAUGAAACUUCAUUGACUGGGAUGUUUGCAGAACUCAUUUUUAUUCCACAUUUCAAAGCGUCAAGUUCUUCAAAUACAGCAACAAGACUAAGACGAUUGAGAUCUUUUGUCUUCUUGAUGACAGCCGCGCUCAUAUCCCACGACUUCGGAAGUGCAUUCAGUAGCUUUUUGUUUAUCUCAGAUUUGGUCAUGAAGAUCCCAACUAUAUUCAUCUCAGUAGUAAGUGUAGUAAAUCGCCGCAAUUGAUCUUCCAAGGUUUCUACAGGGAUAUAAUUGAACAGGUUGAAACUUUGUCUUAACAUAUCCUAAUGAAUCAAAAUUUUUAGUAAAAAGCCAAAAAAAAAAGUCAAAAUUUAAAAAUUAAAAUUUUUGGUAGAAAAUGGAAUUUAAAAAUAAAAGAUUUUGAGUUUUGGGCUGAAAGGGUUAAUUUGCAAAAUUAGGAACCGAAGGUAUUGUAUUUGCGUUAUAAUUUGUUUUGCGGUCUGAUUGAAGGUGUGCGGCGAGUUGAAGGUGUACGGCCGAACACGCGUGUACGGUUCCCGGUGUGUGGCUCGGAGUGUGCGGCCUCGGUGUAUGGCUCAGAGUGUGCGUGCUCUGUGUGCAGCCUCGGAGUGUGCGGCUAGGUGUACGGUUCAGCAGCCUUGGUCUCGGUCUCGGUCAGCAGACGCCCUCGCACCUCUUCCUCGCAGCACAACUUCAUAUUAAAAAAAGAAAGGGAAAUUGGGCCUGUCGGGAUUCAAACUCAGGUCCCUUGAGUUAAUAAGCAUGCGCCUUACCAGUUGGGCUAAGCUGAAUCAUGUUACAAACCUUCGAAAAAACAACGUUUUUCACCAUUCUUGCUCCAAAACUCGAUCAAAAACUCGUUUUUUAUCAAAAAUGCAAAGAACAAACCCCCUUUAUUUUGCCACAAUCUUCCAAAAAUGCAAAAAUCCUUUAAAAAUAUGAUCAAAUAAGCUCCAUAUCUGACAAAAUUGAUUGAUACAAUCAAAGCUCUGAUACCACUUGUAAGUCCCCAAAUAUGCUUGUGUAUCAAUCAGAUCCGUUUGAUGGUGCUAAAUCCCAAUCAAAUGGAUGAUUUCAGAUCAAAAUAGAAGAGAAGAAGAAGAAGAAGAAGAAGAAGAAGAUGAUGAAUCUAAUGUAUUGAUGAUAUGAAUUAUGCUCCUUACAAGAGAUUCACACACACACACACACACACUAGUUCUUCUCUCUAGUCUCUCUCUCUACAAUAUGCUCCUCUCGUUACCUCUCUCUAGAACAUAACUUAAUUUCACACACUUAAGCUCCUUGGCCAUAUACCCACAUGCACUCCUCACCCUAUAUAUAUGAGACAUGGGCCGUGAACAGGUUCAUGACUGUAAACCAGUUAACGGCCAUAAACACAGCCGUAAACUCAUAAAAAAUUACGGAAAAAUACAAUUGCCUAGAAAAGUAAAGUAUAAACCAUAAUUUUGACCCAAUAGAUUCCAUGCAACCCAAAUGGACCAUACCAAUUGGGUCAAGUACAUACCAGUUAUAGUUAUGGACUUAGACACCAAUCCAAUAGUCGCCCACUUGGAUAAGUCUAAAACUAUUAUUGUGUAUGACUUCAAAACCCAACUAGCAAUCGUAGCUCUUAAAAGCUGUUGUCAAACUCUGAAUAAAUUAAUAAAACGUCUAUUAGAGACGAGAUCGUAUAUUCCUCCAUACUAGAUACCAUAUGGACUGAGACAUGGAUUAUAAUCAUUCUCUUUGUACAUUUGUUGUUUCUCGAUUUCCAAUUUAUGAAGAUUGACUAAUUAAACAAAUCAAAUCAGUCCUGUCUUGGCCAAGCACUUCGGGGUGACAUCACUAAAUCAUCGAGGGGCCCACAUAUAUCGCUUUUAUCCCUCGAAUGGUAAAAAGAAUGGAUAAACUUCGACUCAUAUGCUAGUUCUACUACUUGUUGAAUCAUACACAAACGCACGUUUUAUAACAUCGAGUUACCAAUGUGUUUUCGUACAAUCAAUGUAUAACCAACUCAUAGUCAACAACUCAUAUCUCUAGGUUUGAGGAAUAUAAGAUAUUAUCAUCUCAUGAUCACUCUUGAUAAAAUCCAUGAAGUGAGUUAAAUGAGCGUGGGUUUAAUCCAAUACUCAAAAAUUUUGAGCACUCAUGAAUAUUGCAGCAACUCUUGUUAUGUCCAAUACAUUGGACAUCUAGAAACCUGCUUCAUGAUAGUCUUGAUUCAUAUCUACUUCCAACAUAUGACCAACUGUCGAUGGUUUGAAUAACUGAGUCAUUUAGGAAGAGCGACCUAGUUAUGCUGGAAGUCAAAACAUGCAAAGUGAAACACAAGAAUAAUCGAAUCCAAUAUGGUUUUAGAACUUAUGAAUAUAAAUAGAACACCUUUUAUUUAUCACCAUAUUGUUUACACAUUAUUCAUUGCAUACUGUUUCAAACUAUCAACUUUAUAAUAGAAUUAAAACACUAGUCCCAUUCUCCAAGCACGUACACUGUCUUUUCUAAAACACUAGUUAUGCCAUACACCAAGUAUGCACACUAUGUUUUUCCAAACAUUAGUUAUGCCAUAAAUCAAGUAUGCACACUAAGUUUGUCUAUCAUCUUUACUUUUGUGAAAUAGAUCGAUUGAACAUAAUUCCAAUGAUUCUCAUUUCACAAUCCCAAAUCCUUACCGCAAAUGCAAGAAUUCCAAAUUGUUGUCAUUUAUCUGUACUGAUUAUGCACAAAGUCAUAAAGACUUGUCAACAGACAUUAAAGAGUGUUCCAAUGGAGAUCAACUCCAUCCAAAUGAAGUCUCAUAUUCAAUGUACAUUGCUUUGAACAUCCUUCUUGCAUUAAGUUUCGUAAUCUUACAUAGAUUUAAUGAAUAACUUUCACUUAUGGGAACAUUUCCAUAUUUCCAUUUUGACUAUCACUUGCCUCUCUUCAUAAUAUGUCAAGAUGGUCCUCUCCAAAAAUUCACACCAAACUUCCAACUGUCCCUGAGCAACCAAUCUUUGGUAAACCUUAGAUUGUCCUCGACAAAUGCUUAAUCAUUUUAGUCAUAUCCAAUUCUCAUACUUUUUCCCUCAUAAUGCUCAAGGAAUUUGGAAAAUUUUAAAACAGAUGAAUAUUAUAGCACAUGCAAUCAACCCUAUAUCCAAGCAUAUGGGACAAGAUUCAUGAUGUAUCACAUAAAGAUAUGAUACUACACCUGUCUUUUUGCUAUAAUAUUUCUAUUUCUAUUUGCCAAGUGCUCAUAAUUCAGAUUAUGAAAAGGGAUGUUGUAAUCAUAAUCGAAUUUUAGAACGCAAAUAAUGUCCCAUAUAUAGAAUUUCUUUAUGCUGAACCAUUCCAACAUAACAUUCAUAUAUAUACUUGACUAAAUUUGAUUAAAAUCUCACGAUCUAAGCUUUUAGAUUUGAAAUGAAGUAUAAUUUCCUCUCCCUUAAUUAUAGCAAAGCAAAUUUUUCCCAAUUGAAACUAUUGUUUUCAAUAAUUAACAUUGCUAACUUGCAACACUUAUCAUAGAUAUCAUGCUCCCACUAACAUGAUGAUUAUUAGCAUAACACUUAUGCUCCCACUAGCUUUGACAUGUACUCAGAAAUCAGUUGGACUUCUAGAAAUCAAUACUUUAUUGACUUUCUUACCAAAUUUUAGAUUUCUGAUACAAAAUGCUUUGAUAAAACAUUAUCAAAAUCAUACACCUUUCCUUAGAUAGCACACAUGUGCGUGUUAACAAUUUCAGACCUAUGAAAAGGGAUGUCAUAAUCAUAGUCUUAAUUGUUUAGACCUUUGCCAUUCCUCACAAGUCCAUGUUUUGUGCCGGUUAACCACACACGCUCCACUAACGAAUUUAAGAAUGCAAAUAUCAUAAUUGCUAUCUACUUAAAAUCUACUUAGUGAAAGUGUUUCCUCACCAUCAUUUUCAUGAAUCGGAGAGAAACCUUAUGACAAGGUUAUGACAAAUCCAAACUCAUAUCCAUGUGAAUUUGUCAAAACCAUAAUCACAAGACAAGGUCAUGACAAAUCCAAACUCAUAUGGAUUGAACUUAUGCAGUUUUAACUUUCUGGCCACCUGGUAGCACAAGGGCCUGCCAUUGCUUCCAAGUUGUUUUGCAACCAACGCAAAGCCAACUUUAACCGGAAUGGGCACAUAAACAAGAAAAAUGUCAACACAAUAGAUUAUAAACCUCAAGUCAUGUGCUAGUGAUAAACUACAGGUUUCAUUCUUGAUUAGAUCUUGAAAUUCUUUCAGGAUCUUUAAGACUCCCACUGUCCUCUUGACAUAUAAGACUCACUUUCCAAAUAUUCAAGAGAUAGUGUGGAUUCUUUAUCAAGACAAACACUUCACACAAUUGGUCUAAGUUUAUCUCUGUUUUAUCCAAAACAUCACAACAUACCAAUUUCAAAUGUACAAGAGUAGGACACACUUUACUCUUACAUUUGACUAAGUGUUAAUAAACCUUUCUUUAAGAUAUGUCACUUAAAUUACAAUCUUGGAGUAUGACUCUAAGACUUGUUUUGGAACGAAGUAUGACUCAUCUUCUUGAUUCAACCAUUUUAACAAUUAUUGAUUCCUCUUCUUAGCCAUAGGAAUGCACUAGGAUGUCCUUAGAGGACCAUUUGUGAAAUGGUUUCUUAAUCAUCAAGAUGAUCACAAAACAUUAUACUAAAGUACUCUCCCAUCUUUUCAGAUUUGAGAAAAUUUUAUCUUUCUGCCUAAUUUGAUUCUUCUCAUUCGUUCUGCCAUACAUCGAAACUUUUCCAAUGUUUCAAAAUUAUACUUAAACUUGCAAGUAUAACCAUAUUUACUAAACUUUAGUAAAUCAUGACGAAUAGUCUUAUCAAUCUUUUGUGGUGGACUUGACCAGUGCACAAGAAUGUGUACUCGAUCCCUUAGUCCUUCAGUUGACUCACAUAUACAUAUAAACAAGGAAUUAGUCUUAAUUUUCCAAAGAUGAAAAUUCUCAUUCAUCAUACUAUACAACUUGCAUGAUUCCAAGUUCCGGUCCAUUGAAACUUAGGUGAUGAGAAUCUUUCCUUAUUUGGUAAAUUUAGACACUAUAACAAAUGAAAGAAUCAAAUUCAUAUUUUCAUUAUUGCUAUAAACAUAUAAACAUCACUUUUCCAUAAAUGCCAUUGCAAGGAGAUAAAAUAAAAUAAUACAAAAAUUUUAUUUAUUUAUAAGAUAUGGAAAAAUCUUUUUCCUUACAGUGCAACUUUAAAUGAAAAACUAUGUUAUUACAUAUUUUCUAGCAAUAUAUCAUAACUCCUAAGUAGCAGCUCAAGAAUCCGAUCGUCGAACCAUGCGAUUGAAAUCCAUCUUCGCGAUCAGAUUCAACAUACUCUUUCUUUAAGUUUCCUUCCCUUUGCUUGAUCCUGCCAUACAUCAAAAUGUAUUAAGAAUCUCCAAAUGGGAAUUUAAUUGAGUUAGAUAGUGGACUUAUCUGAACCAGAGGUCAAGCUUUUUGACUAGACCUUCUCUCAGAUCUUUCAGGUAGUUAGGGCAGGUUUGCAACCAAUGCCCCUUACUUUUGGUAAUAGAAACAUCCUGACUCUUUGGGAAUGCUACACUGGACUAUCUCAGACUUGCCUUUCUCUUUAUCAUUUGGUCAACCGAGUUGACUAUGGUCAAUCCCUUUCCUUGGGAUGAGAUGGCUUUUCUAGAUAUCCAAUGUUACCAUUUUCCAUGUCCAUGGAAGUCUGGGAAGUUGAUCUUCUUAAUCAAAUUUGCUCAACUAGUGCUCCAUAUCAUUGUUGAUUCAGCAGCACCAAGCAAAAUAGAUAAGAUCAUUAAGGGUCAUGUCAUAGUCUUUUACAUAGUAGUCCCAAAGGACGCCCACUAUGUGACUUAGAAAGUUAUUGAACAACCAACUUUCUCAAGACUUUGACAUCCAACUCUCCCGGCUUGUCAAUAUGUGACUUCAUCUCCAUGAUGUGAGCACACAUAGACCUUGCUUGCCAAUAGGGCUUGAGUGUCCUUGAACUUGUGGGUUAGGGAGAAUAAUUGGAGGAAGUGAAGAAUGAUUUGCGGAACAUCGUAUUCAUUAGGAAAGCUUAUUCCAAGAGUUUUGGGAAGAUCAUUAUUUGGCUGAACCAGACAUCUUUUGGGAGAUAUUUAAGUUAGUUGAUUUAAGUCCAUAAUAAAACACCCAAUAUGAAAUAUUAAGGCUAGGACCAACACAAUACUUUAUAACUUGAAAGAGGGAUGUCGUAAUCCAAGUUAUAGAAUAUUUGAAGGCAGGGGAAUGACGAUUCACCAAUUUCCACCAUGAAAAACGAAAUAAUUUAUUAGGUUUUAAUUGGAUUUGAAACUCCUAGAUCUUUUGAGAUUCAUUGAACUUUUCAGUGGCGUGUUUCAAUCUCGAUUGUGGCCUCUUAAAUUUUGUGACUUGGAUGCCGAGGAUCACAAAACAAGCUUUGAAUAAUCAUGCAAAUAUACUUGGUACCCUUAAUAUUUACCCCUCAAUCGAUGUGUCGGUUAACCACACGUGCUCCACUAAUACUAUGAUAAAAUUAAGUUACCCUUUGCCUACCUUGUUAAAUCAAGCUAGUGUGUCGAUUAACCACAGGCGCUCCACUAACCGACUUAAGCAAAAUGCAAAGUGGAAUUUCAUGGGUUAGCACCAAAAUCACUUUUUCCCAAAGUAACUAAGAUUAGGAAUUUAUAAAAGGUUUAGUUACUUUAUAUUUAUCAUUAAUACUUUUAAUGAAGGGAGAAUUCUAGUCCUUGUCAUACAUGUUCGACUAACGACUUUCCAUCAGUCAAGGAAGUGGUGGGUGAGAGUGGACACCUAUUAAACUACCAUUUUAUAGGCAGUAACCUUAUACCACCCUUAUAGACCGGCUUCAUGAAUGAGGCCUACUAACGGUAAGACUGACUUUGUUCUUUUAUAUAUAUAUAUAUAUAUAUAUAUAUNAAAGUAUAAGGUUUGAAUUUUAACUUUUAAAAUUCUAAGGGUUUAACUUCGAAUUAAAGUAUUCAUCAGGGGAAAUUUUACAAAUUCCAAAACUUGAGGGCAAAUUUUGAACUAUUCAAAAACUUUUCAGUUCCAUAAAUUAUGUGUUUAAAGUAGCUUUAAUGAAAAAAUCUUCAAGUUCCAUAACUUGAGGACAAGUUAUGGAAGACUUUAAAACAUUUAAAAAUGAGACUCUCCAUUUUUCAUAACUUAUGGUAAUCUUAUGAGUUUUAACAAUCAUAAUUGUGACUUUUCAUAUAACUUUAGGACAAGUUAAAAAAACACAUAUUAUGAACAACUUUUAGAUUAAUCUGGAGUGAAAACAUAUUAUCACAUAACUUUUCUAUUAAUCAAAAUCAACUCAUAAGAACAAGAUAAUUCAAAUCAAACACUUUUCAUGAAAUUAGCCUAACCAUUAAACUAAUACAAAACAUGAAUCUAUUGACAAUUAUCUUUUAAAUUGGAUUAGCAUGAACAUUACCACAUCAAAAACAGGUUUACAAGUUCAAAAACAGCUUAGGGUAAUGUUCCUAGUCCAAUUCUAGCCAAAAAAAAACUCGAAAAUAUGUUGUCUGGGGGUCCAACUCGUCGAGUGCAUGAACCAACACGAUGAGAUGGAUGAUUUUUUGCACUUUUUAGGCAUGGAAUCAUCGAGUCCCUUAAUGGACUCGGCGAGUCAGCUGUCCAGACAGCAAAAAAUUUGAUUUUUCUGUCUUUUUUCAGCAAUUUGCAUCAAGUAUAAUUGAAAACAAGCCUAUGCUCUGAUACCACUGAAGGGUUUUGAGCAUUCUAACACUCCUAAGGUGUACAUGCAACCGUAAAUACCUUGGAUCUAUGUUUUCUCUAUUAUACAUGCAAAUAUCAAUUUUCCAAGGUAUUGUUCUAACUAGCACAAUAUGAAGUACAUAUAAUAUUAAUUCUAGUAGAAUUACAUACCUCUUUGUUGUAGCUUGAUUCCGUGGAGCUUAAGAGCCUAGUGCCUCAAAUGUGGCACCUCAAGUGGUUCACACAACAUCACCAACAUCUUGGAGUAACUUGAGAGAAAAGGUUCCUAUGCUCAAAUCGGCUAGCCCUCAUCUGUACACACAGUAGUGCUAAUUUAAUGAGCCAUGGGGUCCUUAUAUAUUGUGGCUAUUAGGGUUACACCAUGUAACUCAUGUUUUUCCAUAUUCUUCAUGUUCCAUGGGUUAAAACCUCCACGGAGUAUCCAUGGGUUACUCUAUGGUUUAGCCCAAGAUGAAGAACUAUGGAUCAUAAGCCCACAUAUAUAAGAAUGAAUGAUUUACACAAUUAAUCCCCAUAUAUUUAAUUAGUCCUUUUUAUCACGUAAUUAAUUCCAAAUUAAUUCUUGAUCAAUACUAAUUAAAUAAUAUGAUUUAAUAUUAAUAUAUUAGAACUUAUAAUAUAUUAACAAAUCAUAAAUAUCCUUUUCUCACAAAAGUCUAUCCAAAUUGUUCUGAUGCCAUGCAACCCAAAUGGACCAUGCCAAUCGGGUCAAGUCCAUACCAAUUAUAGUUAUAAACUUAGACACUAAUCUAACAAAAAGUCCGUAUCAGAGCCCUAGUUUGAGAAAAUUAGACGAACACUUGUGUGAAUCCAGUCUCAAACUAGGACCCAAGAAUUUUCACAAAAUAUUUUGAAAAAGAAAUUUAUAAUAAAAUGAUUAGGUUAGGGAUAUGGAUUUGGUCUCUUGUCAUGUUCUUGUUUGAUAUUUGGCAUGGAAUCGGGAACAUAGACUUUGACUUAACUUUGGUUUUAUAGGAAGAUGGUGUGUGUACAGUCAGCGAGAUCCCAAAUAAUAACAUGGUCCGCAAAAUACCUAUACUUGUUAUAUAUGUUGAAUUUUUGCUUUUGUUGAUAUGUGAACUAUUAGAAAAGCAUGCUAUUGGAUGAGCUAAGGUUCUUUUAGGAACUAUGGGAUAGAAGUGCCAGACUUUAGUGAUGCCUUAUGCUAUACGGAGUUGCUUGUUAGAUGUUACUUGAUUUUGUGAUUUAUACGUGUAUGCUGAUUAGUUGUAUAUGGUUGGGAUUAAAUAGACUUAGAAUGAUUGACAUAGCCUUACUUCAUGUUCCUUGUUUGGUUGUGGAAUUAGGGUAGAGUCGAUUAUUCAAUAAUCUAUCUGACCCCGUAUUGUGUACAACAAGCAUGUACAAAAGCAACCAGUGGUGCAGGAUUGAGGAUAAUCCUAGAAAUAGUGCCUAGGAAGUUAGUUGUAGCUCGUAGGAGAAGUAGGUGUUAGCGCACCAAGGAGUCGUCUAGUAGAGUGACUUAGGACCUUGGGAUGAAUUCUAAAUCGACAUUCAGGAUAGGUGUUGAAGGUAGUAUGGGCAUGUACUACUAAAAGUACAUGAUCUGUAUGAGAUUAAAGAGGAACCUAGAGGCUACUAAGGAACUAAUCGGAGUGUGGUCUAGUUUGUUGAGCACUAUGUUUUGAUGUCUAAUAUUUCCUUGGUAUAUUUUAGUAUGGCACCUUUUUAAGGUUCAGGAUUAGGAGCUCGUGACACUAGGAGAGUAGGUUCAAGUGAAGAGGAGAUCCGGAGAACCAUUGCUGCCAGAGUGGCCGAGCCGAUCUGGGAAGUGACUCCUAAGUUGUUUGGUUUAUUCAAGACUGCGUUGAUCGAGGAGUUUAACUAGCGUUAUGCUGCCAUCACACAGGUAACUACUGAUGCAGCCAUAGCAGCUGUCAACAUUGCAAGAUCUUAGGGAGGCGAUGCGAUGUAGUACCUAGAGGUCAAUUAUAUGAAGCCUCCAAAGUUCAGAAGCGACAGGGACCUGAUCAAUGUUUUUAGAUGGAUUUCUGACAUGGAGGGAUGCUUCUUCAUGUUUUCCUUUCCCGAGGGCCAGAAGGUGUAAUUUGAAUUGAAUAUUUUCCAAUGGGAUGCAAAGGAUUUAUGGGAGUUCGUAACCAAGUGUUUUUGCAUGUAGAGCAAGUCGUAGUUACUUGGGAGUAGUUCCAAGAUAUAUUCUAAGCGGAGUAAGUUCCUCUUGUGGAGUGGGAGCGAUUGACACAGGAGUACCUCUUGCUCAAGCAAACGUCGGAGUCUGUAACACCCCAUUUCUUAAAUAAAUAAAUGAAUAAAUUGAUGAGUGUAUAGUAGCCCUAAAAUCAACAAUUUAUAUAGCAAGGUGUUGGCCUUGGGGGUUAAUUGUUACAAUUUUAGAAGUUGGGGGUUAAAAGUGUAAGUUCCGGAGUGGUUUGUGAAUAUUUAUGAAGGCAUGGGUUGUUUGGUGAAUUAUUGGGCCUUAAUUUGAAUAGAUUUUGGAAAGCAAGGACUAAAUGGUUAAUUCUGGAUUUAAUUGUAAAUAUUUCUAAAGGCAGGGGCUAUUAGGUAACUUUUGGACUUAGUUUGAAGAAGAUAUGGUAAGGAGGGGGUAGAUCUGACAAAACCGUAUGGAAGUUUGGAAGGGAGCGGGGGUGUCUUCUUUCCAUCCCAUAUGCGCGACUAACCUAAACCCUAAGCAUCGAUUCCAACGGCCACUUCUCCUCCUCUCACUAUUUCGAUCAUGAAAAGACAUCGCUUGCUGCCCCACCAACGAACGCCACCGCACCUUGCUAUCAGAGAUGUGUUGGACAACUGAAGAACCACCGGAGACGUCAUGACAGUCGACUGAACUACCAUUGUCGAUUUUUGGAGCGGGAACGUUGAUGUGCAAGUUGUGAACAGAAGGAACUCUUGGUAAGGAUCUACACCGCCUAUUUAUUCCUUUUCUCCGUUCUUCCGACGAUUUGGCACCAGGUGUGUUGGUUGUGGCUGCCGCCGCCCGUUGGCCGCCGUAUCUAUGUAUUUCGGCGACAUUAGUUGUUGAAUAUUGGGUGGACUUUAUGUGUUGAGCAAUUUGCGGGCUGUUAUGGUGUUUUUGGGGGACGGUGACGUACUAUCUAACCGGAAAAUGAAGGGAAAGCCCACCACCACCACCAUAAGGUGGUGGCUACCACCCAUUAUUGUUUUAUGCCACCCUCCACCGCCACCAGCCGCCAUGAGAGGUGGUUGUAGGUGUGAUUAAGGGUUUGAUGUUGAGCAUAAGUGCUGAUUUCGAUAUUUUGGGGGUUAUAUGCGUGUUUAGGUGGCCGGAAAGCCCACCACCACCACCAUGAGGUGGUGGCCGCCACUGACCACCACUACCUAAGGUGGUAGUGGGUGGUGCUUGGCAUAGUGAACCCUAAUCGGCCCAAAAUGCUUGAUCUUGACUAGUUUGUUGAUGAUUGGACUAGAAAACCCUAAUUUUGGGUUUGUUAGUUAGUUUGGAUUUUACCGGGACCCGCGGUUGGACUGUUAAAUUGAUAUUCUUAAUUAUGCCUGACUUCUUUGUGUGAAUGGCCUAGUGGAGUGAUGGGCUUAAUUGGUUAAGUAAGCAACACUUAACCCUAAUCGUCAUUUUAUGUGAAAACCCUAAUUAUGGUUGGGCCUUUGUAUUGGGCUAUUGAUGGGCCAUCCAAGGACAACCAUGUGGACCAGCAUACUUAGAUGGGCUUUUGGGUAAGGCCCAUAUGAGAGUUGGGCCCAAUUUGAAAAAUUGGGCCAUAGUUGGGCCAUUAGUGGACUUUUGUGGACCCAUUUGGUAUUGCGCCUUAGUGGGCCCAUUGGGUUUCGGUUAUUUAUGGACUGAAUUGGUGGACCAUAUUUAGACCUACUAUGUGAAGGAUGGUCUUAGAGUCUUAGAUCCUAAUGGGGUUAAUUGUGGGUUUGGCUCAGUGUUAGAAGCUGGAGUACAGCAGCAACAUUUAUUGGAUCUGUUUGCCAUCUGAGGUGAGUCUUCUCACUAUACUUACCUGUGUGGUGAUUUGUGUGAGAUUGGAGGGUCUUAUUCGUGUUAUUGACUGGAGGGUCUUACUUACACUGUUGACCGGAGGGUCUCAGUAUAUUAUUGACCGGAGGGUCUUGGUACAUAUAGACCGGAGGGUCUUAGUACAUUAUCGAUCGGAGGGUCUUAUUUGUUUAUUAUGUGUUAUGUGUUAUCGUGCAUACUAUCUUUGUGACUUAUGCUGUUAUGGUAAUAUGUGUAUAUAUUGAUCUUAUAUGUUUAUUAGAGUACUGUGAUAUCCUGCAUUAUGUCUAUGUGAAUUAUGUUGUGUAUUUAUUAUGAGCUUACAGAGUUAGGACCGAAGGGUCCACAGCGUUAGGACCGGAGGGUCCACAGAGUUAGGACCGGAGGGUCCAUUAGAGUUGUGGGACUGGAGGGUCCCACUGAGACACAUUGACCGGAGGGUCUUACAGAGUUAUAGCCUCGAGUGGCUAAAGUGUAUUUGUGGUAUUUUGGGGAACUCACUAAGCUUCGUGCUUACCGUGUUAUGUGUUAUGUGUUUCAGGUACUUAUCAGGAUCACGGGAAGGCAUCGGCUUGAUUGUACACACAAGAUGGAGUUGUGUUCGAGGAUCUUGGAUUUUAUUCAACUAUAACAUAUGUUUAUGAUAAUUGAUAUAUUGAGAUUUUAUGAUAUGUGUUGAUGAUAUUAUUGUGAUUUUAAAAGUGAAAAUUUUUUAUGAAAAUUUACGGUGUUACAGAGUCGUUACGGAGAUCACCAAAAUGUUUAUGGAGAGAGCUUUUCUGCCUUGAGUAUGUCGUUUCAUAACAGGCAUAGAUGUCGCGAUACUUUAGUAUGCUUAAGACGAAUAUUCGAGGGUUUGUAUAUACUCAACAGUACUAGACCUUAAACGAGAUGCAGUCAAGCGCUAGGAAGAGGGAGAUUGAGUUGGAUAUUCAGCAAAAGGUAGGGGAACAACUUCCAGAAAGUAUCAGCUGGUAGCCAAGCGAGACAAGUCUGCCAACCCGUGUUUAGGAUCAGUUGAGGGGAGGAGUUCCGUGUGUGGAAGGUGCAGGAAGUUUCAUGAUGGAAGGUGCCGAUCAUUUUUAUGUCGCAGCAUGGCGAGGAGGGUCAUUUUGUCAUGGAUUGCAGGCAAAGUUCACGGGUUUGUUUCCAUUGCGGCCAUGAUGGCCACUUCAGGGCUUGUUGGUCGUUUCUAGUUUUCAGUGAGGUGUUGGACCCUACACCCCUAGCUUAGCAGUUACCUGAUGGUCAUUGUGGGGCAUCCGGAGACCGAGGUUUGUGUUGUCACUUCCUCUUUUUGGUCGAUUGUUGCAGUGUUGUUAUUCAUAUGUAUUUAUGUUUAUGUUUGAAGUUCAUUUGUCAUCUCGGAUAGUCAUUUGAAUGAAAUUAUCUUAUUUUUCUCUGUCAAAUUUGAUUUCUUAUUAUUAAUGGAUUAAUUAUCUUUUUCCUCGAUUUUAUGUGUGUUCGAAUUUGCGAAUGUUGUGUGGGUUCAGAUUUCCCAGUGUAUCUGGAUAUUAGUGGUCGGGAUCGUGUGUUAGAGUUCAAGUUAGUACGGGUAUCAAAGCAUUGUGCAGUUCCCAAAUUCUAGCAUAUUUCAAGUGAGGGAGAGUGGAACCUCGCAGCAGGAAGACCUUGUGCCAAGGUUCGGUUCUCAAUCGGAUUUCUCCAAGUCUAAGACUUCUGUGCAACUACCAAAUCUUUUGAUUUUGUGUUAAGAUAAUCGUCACCUGUUUUAUUCCCUUUGAGUCGUAUUAGUUUUAGUUGUUAUAGCAUCCAUAGAUCAUGCUUGUGCUUUAUACUCUAGGGUGUUAGAAGCCUAGGUUGAGGGAUGUGAUGAAGGCUUCCAUGUCUAUUCUUGUCUGAUUAGGGCAUGGAAGUCUGAGUCACGGCCAAAAGGUCUGAUUGGGAUAGUUAUGUCUUGUUGGGAUCGAUGUGCUUCUUGUUGGGCUACGAGUGCUAUUAUUGAUUAGUGGAUCGGGGGUAUGCCCGAGUGCUGUUGUCGGUUAGUGGACUGGGGGUAGGCCAAGUGUUGAUGAUAGAUUGCUAAGCAGAGUUGUCGCAGCCGGGUAGGAGUGUGGUAUAGUUAGUAUGUGACUGUUUGGUUUUCUUCGCAUUGGUGCAAUAUGUGCAUGAUUAACAUGAUAACGUUUGGCCAAGAAGCUUUUGGACCAAUCAAAUAUGCUGAUUCUCGGUCGGUUUAGUUGAGACGAGGGUUGCGUUCUAUUUUGGAGUCUAGGUUUGAUUGACUUGAGCCCAGGGUGUAACCAUUAUUGAUGAUGGUUUCAGAUGUUAGUAUUUCAGUGACCUCAAUCGCAUUGAAGGACUCGAGUUUGAAGGACCCUCAGGGGGAUAUACCACGAAGUGGAUCCGAGAACUAAUAUUGAGGACAAAAUCUAAUUUAAAUGGGGGAGAAUUAUAACAUCAUGUUUCCUCUAGUUUCUUAUUUCAUAGCCAUGUACCGGAAGUCAAUUGGGUACAAGCUUUUGGCCUUAAUGACUUCAAGUUUAGUUCUUGUGGAAAGAGGUAAUGAUGGUUAAGAUAUUUAACCCUUGAAUUGUGUUUUGGGCCAAAGGGUAGAAAUAAAAAUGUCAUAGGACGGGUUGUUGCAUGAAAUAUGGAUUUUUGUUCGACAAGUUUAUAGUCUAAGAUAAUUAGAUAAUAUUUUCGGGUUCUUCAAUACCUUUCCAUGCAUAUAAAGAUAGUUGAAAACAUAGUUGGACGAAAGAAGUAAUGAUUGUUAGAAGUUAGGAGGUUUUGGGUUUAUGCUAGUACGUUGGACGUAUAGGGUGUGCGAUGGGCAUACUAAGUAAUGAUAAUUGCGAAGAUUUAACCUGGUACGCUGGGCGUACCAGGAUUACGAUGGGCGUACGUGAUCAGAACCCAAACCCUAAUUUUGGGGUUUUGAGCCCUAUUUAAACUCUUUAUCUUCUCCAAACCAUUUCCCUUCUCAUCCUUCACCUCUCAAAUGUCCUCCCUUGAAACCCUAACCCUAGUUUGAGCCUUGUGAGGAAAAGAAUGUAGUUUUAGUGCUUUGGAGUGUUCUUGGUGAAUCUUGUAGAAGAAUGAGCGCAUUGGAGAAGUGUCGGUUGCAUUGGAGCUUUUACAUCGAGUCCUUGUUCACCUUGAUCUUUUUUCUAGAGGUAUAAAGCUUAAAUUUUGAUGAUGCAUUUGUUAUAUAUAGCUAGUUUUGUAUCUUAUGAGGUCUUGGUCACUUUAGUGCAAAAAGUUUAGAUUUUGAAAGUUUGUGACCUUGUUAUGGAUAAAGUUGGAAACUUUCUACAUUUUACCAUCAUAUUGAUUCAGAUCUGAAGGUUUGAGACUUGAACUUAAUGGAUUAAUUUGAGAAAGAUGCACGUUUGGUCCCUUUGAAACUUAAUGACUAGAUCUUGGUUGUUUGGACCAUCAUAAUGGAUAAAAUUGGAAACUUUAUCCAUUAUGGAGCUAUUAGGAGCUAUAAAAAUGUAAUAUUGGUAUUUGUAUCCCUUCCAUGCAAGAGUUAUGAUGUCUUAAUGGAAUAAGAAGUUAGGGUUUUAGCUUUUGCACCUUUUCUAUCCAUGAAGAUUCAUAAAGGUGGAAACUUUCUGACUAAAGUCGAUGUUCUGAGUCUAGAUCUGAGUUCUAGACAAAAGGCCUUAAUGGAUAAAGUGUUUAAUGUAGGAGUGAGGACAGGUUGCGUAUGUUGUGUGUAAUCAGCAACCUUAGAUCUUUACAUUCAUUAACCAUUAAAUUUUUGACCAAGUUUGACCAUGGUCCAAACUUGAUGAUUUUGGGAUAUUAAUUAAGAGUCUAUCUGGUUUUGGUGUUAGUGGAUUCGCAAGUUCAAGCAGUACAGAAAAUGGAUCGUGUCAUAGUGUUUCAGAGUUCUUUGAUUCAGGCGAGUUUUCCUCACUAUACAUGUGGAUCGAAGACACCAAUACCGACCCACUAGGUUGUGCAUCCUAGUAUAGAGGAUGUUGUUAUGUUGUGGUGAUAUGUUAGAUCUGUAUCAUGGUAUAUAAGAUGUUAGUAUGCUAUAAUGAUCUGCAACAUCUGUGUAUAUAUACUUAUAUGAUAGGAUGUUGUACUAGUGGUAUAUUGGUUCUCAUCUAGCGGAGUGCCCUAGGGGCUGUAUGUAGUCAUGUAGGAUAGCCUGAGAACUAAUGAUCUAGGACUUCUUGCAUCUUCCUUGUUUGUUUGUGGAUCGAGAGUGGGAUCAUCUAUUCGGGUGGCUAUCUCACAUUUGGUUAAUUAUGGUUACAAAUUUCAUGGUGGUUAGCUAGUAGCGGUGUUAGGGUGAAAAGCUCUACUUGGAUGUGGCUUACCCUCUUAUGAUGCGUAAUGGGUUGAGUCUUUCCUAUAAAUAGGAAGUGAGUGACUCUUAUUUAUGUAAGAACCACAAUGGAACCUGUUUAGGAGAUUGUCUUGUGAGGGAAUUUACGUUAGCCACUUGUAAUCUUGCUAUUCUAAUGGAGCUUAGAACAAUCUUAUUUACUCUUGGUCUUCUUCAAGAUUGAUUGAUUCACUUGAUCCUUACAAUUCCAAAUAUGUCAACAAAAUUGGGUCACUACAAUUGUUAUUAGAGCGGGUGUUCUUGAAGUGUGCUUGAAGUUUUCAAGAAUUUGAUCCAUGAUGACAACAUGCUUUGGUGAAUCUCAAAUUAUUGUAAGUUCUUCAUCUUUGAGUGUGUUUUUUAUUCUAGAAAUCGAAUUAGUUUUUCGAUCUUCAUUCAAAUUUGAUUUUCUCUCUCUAGAAUUCAUGUGAUUUUUGUUUUCUCUCUCUAAAAACACAUGUCAAAAUAACUUUCUCUCUUUAUAAUUUUGAUCAAAUUUUCUUUCUCUCUUUAGAAAGUCAUUCGAAGUUACUUUCUCUCUUAGAGAUUUCAUUCAUAAUCACUUUCUCUCUAUAUAAUUAUCCAAGUUUUGUGAUCUUUAUUGUUAAUUGAUCAAAGAUGGUGUGUUGGGAUUAUGAUUUUUGGAUCGUGAUAAUUGAAGAUGUUAAAUACAAAGUCAAUGAGAAACAGUUUUAUGGAUUAUUAUUGAAACACGAGUUUAUUACAUGGAAUUCUUUAAUCUCUUAUGGAAAUAAGAAAGAUGAUUUUGGAAAAUUGAUGUUUCAAUCACUUUGUAAGUUGAAAUUUUGGUUGAAAUUUCCAUGGAUAUGUUAUCUUGCUGUAGUAAUCAAAAGGAAGGAAAAUAAACAGAAUUAUUCAAAAAGGAAUAUGUUUCUCUUAUUGAAGACCCAAAUGAUCUUCAUGCUCUUGAGUUUGUUGAAUAUGUUGUUGAAGAAGUUCAUCAUGCUCAUGAUUUUCAAGAAAAGGGAAUUCAAUGUGAUUUUCAUGAGGUUGUGAAAGUUUUUUUGUUCAAUAGGAGUUGAAACCGAUGAUUGCUUGAGUUCUUUUAAUUUGUUUGAAUGAAUGGUGCCAUAUAGAAAGCCCUCAAUCCAAGAAAUUCAAAUGUAUCAAACUCCAAAAUAUUUGAUUCAAAGUUGCCAAGUUCAAGUUGAGAAAAAUGAAUUUGUUCUUGAAUUCAAAUCUUCAAGAUCCAAAAGAUGAAGAAGAAAAAGAAGAAGAUCAAAAACAAGAAAAUUUGGGUUUGUAAACAAAAUUCUUCAAAUGUUGUCUUGAAGUCAAAAUCAAUGAAGGAAAUUUGGGUACCAAAGCAACAAUAAUCAAAUGUUGAAAUGAUUUCAAAUUCCAAACGCAUAAUUGUUGAAGAUUCUCAAAUUCGUUAUGAAGAUGAAGAUAGAUCUUGGAGAAAUGAGAAGUUUCAUGGAUUCUAUAGUGUGCAUCAUGGGUGGUACAAUGUGCAGUUGGAUAAUUUUCUAAUUCCUACCAAGGACCAAGAUCUUCAAUGAUUGAUUCGAGUAUUGCAAAUGGAAAAAGAAUUAUCAAGAGUUUCUCAAGUUCACAAAUAGAUUCCAAAAAAUUCAUGUUGAGAUUGAUACCUUGAUUUUGAAGAUCCGAUGAUGAACGAUUAAGGUUUUCUCGAAAUUCAUAUUCAAUCAUAUUUUGAUUAUUUUCAAUUCGUGCUUUCUUUAUUGAUUUUUGAUCAACUUGACUCACUGGAUCAAAUUUGUUUCAACCUGAUUGUUAUGAUCAACUACAUUUUUUAUAUCAUGCCCAAAAAAAAAAUCUCAUGAUCUUCUUAUUGUUCAUUAAAUCCAAUGUUAAGCCCAAAUCUCAAUCUUAUUUUUUUUGUUUGAUCGAUCUCAUACUGUUCAUCUAUACAUUCUUUUGAGCUCAAACUUGGUUCGAUACUGUUCAUUGUCCAAGACUCCAAGUUCGAGCCCAAAUCCUUGAUGAAAAAUCUCAAUUACAAUCUUAUUUUUUAUUCAGUUCAUACCGAUUCAACUGAUAUUUCAUUCAAACAUCACGAUUUAUGUUUUAUUUAUUCUUAUUUCUUCACAUCGAAUCUGUUUUAUCAGUUAAUCUCAUCAACGUUGUUUUUGAUUCACAAUAAUGUAUCGAUUAAUUGUUCUUGGUUUACCUGUUAUCGAUCAUAUUUCAAGCUUCAUCUCAUCAAUUCAUUUUUUGUGAUUGUCUCAGCAAUUGAUUUCAUGAGAUUGUUCGAUCUUGAGUAGUGAAUACUUUUCAGUAAUUUUCCAAUUGUUCCAAUUGAAAACAAAGUUUCGACUUUGCUAUUGAAUGAUUAAAGGGAUGAUUUCGAACAAUUGAGAAGUUACGAACGAAUAGGAUGGUCGAAAAUUCCAAUUCGAUGGGAACAAUGAUUUUUGUUGCUUAACUUAUGGAUUUUGGUAUAUCAAAGGGAUGAUUACGAGUUGCGAUUUUGAUAGUCGCAGGGUUGGAAUCGAAAUCAAGAAUUGUGGCAUCGAAUCGAGUUGAAUUUCUACUGAUGUUGCUGGUUGAUUCGAGUCAAGAAAUAAACUUUAACAUUGAAGUCGAAAUCGAAUUCUGUUGAUGUUGUUGUCUUUGUUUGCAUCUGGGAUUGAUUGGAAUCAAAAACAUGUUUGAUUGGAGUUUAUUAGCGUCGAAUAUGAAAGAUUUGAAUUUCGAUUUUAGGAUAAUGAGUCGUAAGUCAUUGACUUGGAGUCGAAAUCAAUUUCUAUUGGUAUUGUUGUUGAUUAGAGUCGAACGUGGGUUUGAUGGUCGAACACAUAUGUAGUCGAAAUUGAUUUGUGAUUAAUCGAAAUUUCGAAUCGAGCAUCUAGGAAUGGUUGUUUGAGUCGUUCGAGUCGAGAGAAUUGAUUUCGACAAUAUUCGUUUGGGAUUCAUGGUCGAAAACACAUUACAUGGAGUCAAAAUCGGAUAGGUCAAUAUUGUGUUCGAUGGGUAUGAUUUGGAGUUGAGAUCGAAUUCGACUGACGUUCUUUGUUCGUAUCUGGAAUCAAAAUGGGGAAGAAAACAAUUUUCACAUUCGAGUCCUUAUAGUUUCAACAAGUUGGCAGAAAAUACCCAAUUUUGAUAUGGGGUUAAUUUUUUGAGAAGAGUGAAGAUGUUGUAAUUCGAAUCCCUGAAGUUUAAGCAAUUUGACAGUUUAUAACCAAUUUCGAAUUGGUUGUAUAAUUCUGCGAUGUGGGAAGAAUUUUCAGAUUCAGUCCCUACAGUUGAUGCGAAUUGACACUUUAUGUCUAAUUUCGCAUUUGGGGUAAAGUUUCGCGUUUGAAGCCGAUUUCUCGCAACCAGUCCUUACAAAAUUUGCAAAAUUGACAGUUAUUACCCAAUGUACGAAUUUGUUGCAACUCUCACCCAAAAUUCGAAAUCUUCACAACUUUUGAAGAUUUUUCCUAGACUUUUUGUGAUUGUUUUUCAUGCAAGAUUUUAGUGGUUGCAUUUUUAUCACAUUUUGAAAGGGAGUUUCAUCAUCGUUAUUCUUCGAGCACUUCUCAUACCCUUGUGGGUUUUAUAAUCAUUUGUUGAUUAUAAAAAUUAGGAGAAUGUUGAAAUGGGUAUUCGAAGAUAAUUGUAUAUUUUUUUUCGAAGUGGAUUUGACAACUGAUGUUAGUUCGAGGGGGAGUUGGGUCGUGACCACUUAGAGCUCCUUUGGAAUUUGAAGCUGGGACAUCUAAUUGUAACUUUGAGGGGGAGAUUGUUAGGGUACAAAGUUCUCCAUGGAUGUGGCUUACCCUAUUGUGAUAUGUAAUUGUUUGAGUCUUUCCUAUAAAUAGGAAGUGAAUGACUUUUAUUUAUGUAAGAACCAUUACGGAACAAAUUUGGAGAGAUUAGACUAGUGAGAAAAUUAUUACUUACCCACUUUGUAAUAGCUUACUAGAUCUAAUGGAGCUUAAAUAGAUUUUAUUUACUCUUGCUGUUAUUCAUGAUUGAUUGAUUCACUUGAUCUUUACUAUUUUGCACAUGUCAUCAUAAUCGGGUCACUACAAGCGGGAUAGUCUGAUGUGAGAGGACUAGUAGGCGGUAAUGAACUGUGUGAUUGAUGUUGCCUAUUAGCCUAUUGAUUGAUUAUAUGAAUAGUUGUUUGCUGAGUAUAUGUUAUCUAUUAUGUAUAUGUUGACAUAUUGUGGUUGGGUUGAGCUCUACUACUUUGUGCAGUCAGUCAACAAACCCGGAGUAAUCAAACCUGGAGGUUGUGGGCUAGGGAAAUCCAACCAGGAGGUUGUGGAAUAGGGUAGUACAACCAGGAGGUUAUGGACCCAGUAUGCAAUAUGUGUGACAAUGCAACUAGGAGGUUGUUGUCCAGGGCACCCAACCGGGAGGUUGUGGGCCAGGGUAAUCCAACUGGGAGGUUGUGGACCGAACAUGCAAUAUGUAUAUCUGUGUGGGUGUGUGUGUUAUUUUGGAGGGAAACUAACUAAGCUUUGUGCUUGCCCGGUUGUUAAAUUUUUUUUUUACAGGUUUUAUCAGUGAUCAUCGGAAGGCAAAUUAGGGACUGUACACACCCAUCAGUAGCAUUGAGGAUUCUGUGUUUGUUAUAUUACUCUGGUUUUCAAUAAAUGUACUCUGGAAUAAAUGUUUUUUCUUAAUAAUGGAUUUAUAAUUGGGAAGGUUUACUCUAAUAAAAAUGAAAAUUUCUGGUUGUGAAAAUAGGACAUUAAAAUUUAGUACUUUGUUGAUUUAUUUUCCUUAGAGUUUUUAGAAGUAGUGGUGUGUUAUCCCAUAUUUAGUGCUCCAUAUUCCUUGUAAUCUUUAUAAGGCGUGUGAUAAUUUGUCUUCAGUUAAUUCUAGCAAUAGCAAACACCCUUAGUGUGUGUUUUCCAUAUGUGAAAAGUCUUUAGCUUCCUAUGUGGUUUAUCUUCAUAGUACAUUCAAAGAGCUUUGUGUGUGUGUUGUCCAAGGCCUCUAGUUGGAUAACAAAGUGGUAUCAGAGCACUCGGUCAUGGAAAAAAUGCAGGUGGCUGGUGGUGUGAAGAAGCUUAAUCAAAGAAACUACAACAUGUCUUACAUGCAAGUCCAUGAUCUUUGGGAGGUUGUAAAAGGGGCGGAAAAAAAUCAACGUGAAGAUGAAGAUAACAAUCGUGUACUAAGUAAGUGGAAGAUAAAGGCAGAGAAAGUGAUGCUUGUGUUGAGGAAUACCGUGGAAGAAGAAAUGUUAGAACAUAUAAGAGAUGCUGCUACCCCAAAAGAAGCAUGGGAAACCUUGAUUACAUUGUUUUCCAAGAUGAGUGAUACAAAACUCCAGAUGCUUGAGAAUGAUUUGAUGUCAAUGUCUCAAAAGGAACUGUUGAUUCCCCAAUACAUUCAUAAAGUGAAGGUUACAUGCAAAAAGGUUGGAGAGAUAGAUCUUUUGGCUCUUGUCGAUGAAGAAAGGAUAAAAAGGAUUGUCAUACAUGGUUUGAAGAAGCCUGAAUUCCAAUGUUUUUAGUAGUGAUUCAAGGAUGACCAAUCCAACCCUCCUUAGUAGAGUUUGAAAACAUGUUCGCAGCAUAAGAAACUCUAGCAAAGCAGAUGGGGGGAGGUACUUAUAAAACUUCAGUAGAAGCUAUUUAUGCUGAGAAAAGUUGAACAAAGUUCAAGGGAAUUUCGAGUCAAAAAUUCAAGCUAUAUGAAGAUAAUAUGAAAAGUUAUGAUUCUCAAGGAAGAGGUCGUGAUUUGAAUAAAGAAGAUAAGAGUAAGCGUCAUUAUAACAACAAAUGUUUUCCAUUAAAUGAUACAAUUAUGGUGGAAAGAAUAACAUAGCCCAAAAUUGUCCUAUAAAAGAAGUAUAAAAGGAGAAUGUUGCAACCACUCAAGAGGAAGAGCCUUUAGACGUAGAAGUUCUUAUGGCUCAAGUUAGUGAGGAUGACGCAUUCAAUGCUACCACAACUGGUGAGAGCAAAAAAUAGAAUAACAGAAUAUAGAUUUCGGGUUCUAACCACGUGAUAGGAGAAAGAAAAGGUCACAAGAUCCAGUUAAAUUUGAAGGAAGUAGGGUCAUGGUCAUAGGCAACAACUCUAAACUCCCUAUAACCCAUAUAGGCGAUGUUGUGUUUUCACUAGAAGAAAGAAAUCAUGACCUAGCACCACACGGGGUGUACGUUACCCCAAGAAUGAGGAACAAUCUACUCUUAGUUUCUUACUUAGGCUUUGCAUAAAAUCAUGUGGUUUUUACACCUUAUGAUGUCAAGAUAUAUGCGAAGUUUGAAACUCCAUUUGUACAUGUGAUGAAAAGGCAUCUAAACACAAUCAAUAUAUGUCAUGUUAGCAGAAAUAACUUAUGUAUAAAGAACUAGGAGGAACGAAACUAGUGAACUGUGGCAUAUGAGAAUGAUCCAUGUAAGCUAUGACAAGUUAGAUAUGAUGAUGAGAAAGAAACUUGUUACAGGGCUGCCACAAUUAGAAGUGAAUAAGGAAACUAUUUUUGUUGGGUGUCAAUAUAGAAAGGCUUGCCAAAACCCCUUUGAGAAGUCAAACUUUAAAGUUAAAAAACCCUUAGAGCUUAUUCAUUCGGAUGUAUUUGGACUUACGAAGCAACCAUUAGUCAAAGGUAUAAGGUACAUGAUAACUUAUAUCGAUGACUAUUCAAAAUUUGUGUGGGUGUAUUUCAUGAAAGAAAAGGCAGAAGUAUUGCAAAGGUUCAAAGAUUUUAAAGAAAAAGUAGAAAGAGACUAGAAAACGUGUUAUAAUGUUUUUACAUUUAGACAACAGAGGUGAGUAUCUCUUAACUAAUAUCACUAACUACUUGAAAGAACACAAGAUCAAGUGACAACUGACAUGCCCAAACACACCCCAACAAAAUGGGGUCCCUGAAAGAAAGAACAGGCACUUGGGUGAAAUACGUAGAAUCAUGCUACAUGAUAAAAAUGUAUCCUGGAGGUUUUGGACUAAAGCCAUGCAAACAUCUGCAUAUGUUUUAAUUGAAUUCCACCACAAGGACUCAAAUUUGUGUCUCUUUUUGGACUACUUUGGAAUGUGAAACCCACUGUAAGUCACUUUCAAGUAUUUGGGUGUGUAUGCUAUAUAUUCAUACCUAACCACCUUUGCAGCAAGUUAUAAAAGAAAUCAAUUGAAUGGAUAUUUUUAGGAUAGGACAAUGAUAGAAAAGGGUGGAGAUGCUGUGGACUAGAGUAUGGAAAGUGCUAUAUAUUAUGUAAUGUAGUGUUUAAUGAAUUUUCAUCUUGGUAAUUUCCAAACAAAGAAAACCUCCCAAACUCCAGCAAGCUCAAGGAAGAGAUGGAGUCAUCAAGUGUUGACUUUAUUCUUGGUAAUGAUCAGGUUACAAUUGUAGAAAAAGAAAUAGUUGCACAGAGACAACAGCCUUGGUAAGCCGGAAUGUUUCGCCUCAUUGCUGAAAAUGAAACAUCGGAUGAAAUGGCCAGUAUAAGAAGAUUAUCUCGUAUAAGGAGACCUAACCCCAAAUAUGCAAACAAUGCUAUUGUGGUAGAUGUUGUAACUGAGCCGGUAACCUAUAAUCAAGCUUGUGUUAAGGAAGAAAGGGUUUCAUCAAUGGGAGAAGAAUACGAAGCUCUAAAAAGAAACCAAACUUGAGAGUUGACUCCAAAUCCAAGUAAUGCAAAUCUAAUUUCAUGGAAGUGGGUAUAUAAGGUGAAACGGGAUGCAUAUGGAUCAAUAGAACGAUACAAGUAGAAACUGGUUGCACGGGGAUUUUCCUAGGAAUAUGGCCUUAAUUACGAAGAAAAUUUCAGUCUCGUUGCAAAGUUAACAACAAUGAAGAUCUUCGUAGCUCUUGCAUCAAUCAAGAAAUGGAAACUAUGGAAAAGGGAUGUUAUUAAUGUGUUUCUCAAUGGAAAUUCAGACUGUACUAUAUACAUGGAUCAACCAUUAGGAUUUGUGAGCAAUGUACAUCCUAACCAUGUAUGUAUGCUCAAAAAAGCUCUUUACGGGUUGAAACAGUCGCCUAGGGCAUGGUUUGGAAGAAUAGCAUAGUUUCUUAAAACUAAUGCAUAUAUUAUCACUUCAACAUAUUCUAGUUUAUUGGUGAAGAAAAAGGAAGACAAGGUGGCUAUUGUUGUUUUUAGUAUAUACAUAAGGUCUUAAACACCAUUUUGUUUGUGCAAGAGUAUAGCUAUAUGGGUGCAAGAGUAGGUAAUUGCCCACCCCACACAAAUUUGAGGUGAUUUCCCCGUUUAUUAGGUUCACAUAUUAAUUUUUUAUUAUUAUCUUAAUUAAUCAGUUACUUCAAAUUUAAAAGAACAAUUUACUUUAAAAUAAUACAUUGCUACAUUUUAUUACAAUUAGAAAUAUUUUGCUACUUGUUUAUGUUUUGUAAAUUAUUUGGUCUACCCUAAAACAAAAUUCUAGCUACGCCACUAUGUUUGUGGUUUAGCCAAUUGUAUGAGAUAAUUUUGUAGCGCUCCCCAUAAUUUUUUUAAUUACAUUUGUGUCAGAAAUGCUAUGGAAAAUUAGAGCUCAAUUUUUUCGAAUAUGUUUCCAAAACGUUGUCACCAAUUAGUGUCACACUUAGUUUUAGUCGGAAAUGCCUCUGAAUUCCACAAAAAUGAGUUGUGUGGGAUGUCUGUUGGUACAUCACACAACAUAUAUUUUUCGGAAAAUUGUCUACAGUUUCCUCAAAAAAUGAUCGUAAAAAGUUUCCUAUGACUAGUUUUCCGAAGAAUAUAUUUUUGACGAAAAACUAUCGCCUAAAGUUGUUUCAUACACAUUUUUGACAAUAUAAUUUUGUAGUAGCGAGUAAAAAAUAUAAUUUUUUUAUCAUCAUACAUUAUAUAAUAAAUCACAUGAAAAGUUUAUAUAAAUUUUUUCCUAUGACAAACAAAACAUGUUUUUUUAUAAGUAGAAACACAUUUAACUAAUGGAGUUGUAGAAAAUAUAUAACACAAAUAUAGAUCUAAAAUGCUUUUCUAUAGGUGGAAACAGGAUGAAAAACUUUUGAGCUUAUAAAACUUUUAUUGUGAAAGAAUAAAGUUGCCAGAAGACCUAAGUAUUAAAAAUAACUAUAAGACGUAACUCUUGAUAAGGGAUGGACUCAAUAUUUUUUAUUUUAAUCUACUUAUGUUUACUAAUCAAGUGUUAUCUUGCUUUUUGGAACAACAUUAAAUUUUAUAAAGAUAAAAGCUAAUGAAAAAAAAAUAGUAAAUUCAAAGAAGUUAAGCAAACAACAAAAUAUAAGCUAUAAAUAACCUAUUUUAUUCAGAGACGAUUGCUCGGUUGUUUGAUAGUUUGUGGUGUAGAUUUUUUUUGGGGUGUUUAGAAUGGAGAAAAAAAUAUUACUUGGAUCAAAUGGGACAUGACGUCAAUAGAAAAAUAAAAAUGGGGUUUAGAUGUCAUGUAACACCCGUGUUUCUAGGCUAGGCAUUAACGAUGAUGUAAUAGUCUAGGUCAACCUUUCUAAUUUGUUUUGAAAUAAUAAAGAUGUAUUACUUGAGUAUUAUGUGUUUAUACUUAAAAUAAGGAUUCCAGAAAUAUAAAGAAUAUCGAAAUCAGAGUUAUAACGAAGAAGUUAUGACAUGUCGAAGUUUCGCGACAGAACUGACAAAAUGUUGUAUGACGUAAAAAGUGAAUUUAUGAUAACUGCUUUUUAGCAUUAGUGAUCUAAACGAAAUUCGCAGUAUACAUUAAAGCGAGAGCGUGCAUAAAAAAUACCAAAAUCUGACUUCGUAUGAGGAAAUUAUGAUUUUUCUAAGUUUUAGCUUAGUUAUAUGCAGCCUGAAACUCAAAUUUUAGAUUGAGUGGUUUUUAGGCAAAACAACAUAAAUGAGAAUCGAAGAUCUUGUUCAUAGUAGUUCAAUGGUAAAAAGACAAACAAAAACGGACGUCGUAUGAAGAAAUUAUGAAUUUUUAAUGAACUUUUCAUGUCCCGGCCUAUUAAAAAUAUAAAUUUAAAAAUAAAUUCAAAAUUAGCCGACAGAGUGUAAACGAAAGUUGUAGAGCAUAGUCUCACCUACGUGUGGAUAUAAAUAACAUCACAAAUGGAGCUCGUAUGUCAAAGUUACGAAUUUUUGAAUUUUGAAAAUUCGGAGUAUUCCCAACGUACUAAUGUUCACGGUCCGAGAUUGGCCACGUAGCUCUACUUUUCCGCAUGAGAAACACAUGUCCUAGCCUUCAUGUGUCUGAUAUGAUCCUUCCGUAUGCCCAACGUACUCGAUGUACACCCAACCUACUGGCUGAAGAAGGAGUACGCCCAGCGUACUCUAAACUUACGCCCAAUGUAACUCAUGUAUCCAGCCACUAUAAAUAGCGAUUGAUGCCAUCCGAUUUUAGGUUACAACCUUCAUCCUCUCACCCCUAUACUUUCUUCUAUAUUGCGAAAAUUACCCCCCAAGCCUAUUUUAUCAUCCUAGCAUGAUAAGCAAGAACCGAAGAGCCCGAAGAUCCCGAUAAAAAGAGUUUUCGAGACAAAACUCUGCCCGCGUGAAACCUGAGUAUUGGGAAAACAUCCCGGUUUUAUCGGAUACGAUCGCUUUAAGAAAUGAAGUGUUGCCCGAUUAUUGUUAUAUCAAGUGAGUGAAUAUCCACUUUAUUCUUACACAUAGAUAUGAAGUAUUUUCUAUAAAAUACGUGCAAUGUGUAUAUAUGUUGUUUGUUUAUUCGAGAUAGGUGUUGAAUGGAUAUUUUACACAAGUUUUAAACUAUAUAUGUAUUUUUAUCUACAAAUAUGUUGGGUAAAAUAUGGGUAGAUGAAAUAGUUAAUGUGUGUUAAAAUGAUGAGAGGUCUCGAUGUUGUUGGUGUAGUCAUCUAGCAGAGUAUAGAUGACGACCACAGACCUUUCUAGACAGUCCAGUGGAACGCUAGCAGAAUCGCAACCUGUAGGUGUUGGUGAACUAUAUGUUCGCUGGUGUACUCCAUUCCUCUCAUGGUUGCCUUAUUUGACAUAAAUUGCUGAGGAAUCCCUAAAGCAAUGUUGUCACCCCGAUGAAAAUCUUUGGACUAUGUCCCUUGUGAUAGGUGUUUAGGGACGUAAAGUGAGGAUGACAGGAAUGGGUAAUCAGGGUUAUUGCUGGUUCAUGAAAUUAAUAAAUUUAUUGUUGGUUGAUGGAAAUUAAUAAAUUUAUUAUUUGUGUGUUGAAAACCCUAUAUGCUCACCAGGCUCCCAAGCCUGACCAACUCAGCUUUUUAUAUAUUACAGGGAGUGGACACAGAGCAUAGUUGGAUGACGACGAGGGAUUUUUGGAUUAUAGGCCAGUAGAUUUAAAUAACUGUUGUAAGGCUUAUAAUGUAUUGUUUAUGCUUUUGGUCUAUAUCGAAACCUGACAUCCUGAGGUUUUCUUUUAUAAUGAAAAUACAUUUCUUUAAGAAAUGUUUUAAUAAAUUGUAAGAACAUAAUUUUCGAAACAAUUUUUUUUCAUUUUUCAACAACCAAAUUCAUAUAAAAAUAUUCUCAAAAGUAUCCAACAAUAGUUAUCAAAUCAUAGUAUAUCCCAGGAUAACCAAAAUCAAAUCCUCUCUCUAGUCUGUACGGAUCACGCCAACGCCUUUCCACGGUCCUCGCUAGUACUUGAAACACAUAACACAACAACUGUAAGCAUGAAAGCUUAGUGAGCUCACCAAAAUACCACAUACAACACAUACGUCACUCGAGGCUAUAGCAUGACCCUUCGGUCGAUGUGUCUCAGCAGGACCCUCCAGUCUCGUAGCUCGUUGGAUCCUCUGGUCUGGUCAUAGCUCGUUGGACCCUCCGGCCCGGUCUGUAUCGUUGGACCCUCCGGUCCGGUCUAUAAAAUCAUACAACAUACAUAUAUCACAUAGCACAUAAUCUCAUAUAUAACACAUAAGAACCUCCGGUCAACACAUAAAUACCACCCUAGGUAACGUAUAGUGAGAAGAUUCACCUCGUGUAACUCGGUAACUCGGAAAUCUCUAACUCAGAGAUAUAAGACCUAGCCUCCGCCUAAUCUUAUGAAAUAAUCACUUGUCAUCAACAUAAUUCUCAAGGGUAGACCAUUUCCUCUAAUCACUCUCAGGAGAGGUAAAAGACCAUUUUACCCCUUACUUGGCUCAAAUACAUUAAAGUUGACCAAACCCUAAAAGUCAACAAAAGUCAACCCUCCGGGUUACGCUGCGCGUACCAAACGUGUACGCUGGGCGUACCUGGAGCCUUCACAGAAUCGGGGUACGUGGCCCCUUACGUCGUGCGUACUGGGAUUACGCCCAACAUAAUACCUAGUUUCCUUAUUUGUCUCAUUCAGGUCUUAAACGGUUAAGUCUUUCAUCCAAAAUUCAUAUCUGACUCCUCAAACAUGACUUAAUCCAUAAAGUUGAAACCUUUAAGCCUAUGCAUGGCUGUGAAGGUCACUUUGUCCUCAAAACACCUUUCCUCUUUCCAUAAUGAGACUAUAACUCAUGCAUGACACAAGAUCCACGUCCAAGACUGGAUUUUUAUGAAUCCUUAACACCAUAUACACUAGAAAAGGUCAGAUCUAAACUCAUGGAGACUCUUUGCACAUAAAGUCUCCAACUUUGAACCAAAAACCCUAAAAAUGGUCCAAAAAGCAAAACUUAUGAACAACAAAGAAAGCAAUGGGCUUUUUACCCCGGAUCUACACUUGUUCUUCAACGUCUAGCUCCAAUAAUGGCUCCUACUUCUCCUUCUUUACCUUGAAAAGGUAACUUCAAGCUCAAAACACACUCACAAGCUAAAGCAUGGAUUUCAGCUCUCUAAGGACUCACUCAAGGGGGUAUGGAGGCUAGGGAAAAGGACUACAUGUUCCUUUUAUAGUGCACAAGACCGAAAUUUAGGGUUUGCAUCUGGGCUCACUACACCCAGCGUAACCCCUGGGUACGCCCCGUGUACCCGGGCGAGUCCGUGUUCAAAUUAAGUGCGCGAGUACGUGUGGCGUACAUCUGAGUACGCCCAGCAUACUCACUAAUCUCACAUACAACUUUAAGGGCCUAAUUUGAUAACUCUCCAAAUUAGAAGGAUCAUAAAGCUUACUUAUAUUCCGGGCUAUUACAAUUCUCACCCACUAGAACCAGACUUCGCCCUUGAAGUCUCAUGUUGUGAACAACUCCGGAUGCUGCUCCAGCAUCUCCGACUCUGGCUCCCAGGUCAGCUCGGACCCUUUUCGAUGUUGCCACUGGACCUGAACCAGGGGCACUUCCUUUUUCCUCAGAACCUUGAUCCUUCGAUCCAAGAUUGCGAUCGGCUUCUCAGCAUAAUUCAGACACGCAUCCACCUGGAUCUCUUCCAAUGGUACCACCACCGACUCAUCGACAAUACACUUCCUCAGUUGCGACACGUGGAAGGUAUCAUGAAUCUGCUCCAACUCGGCAGGUAGCUUCAAGCGAUACACUACUUUACCCACUCUUGCGAUCACUCUAAAUGGCCCAAUAUACCGGGGUCCCAGCUUGCCCCUCUUCCUGAAUCGGAUCACUCCUUUCCAAGGAGACACCUUCAGGAGCACGAAAUCACCGACCUGGAACUCGAGCUCAGAUCGUUGUCUAUCCGCAUAACUCUUCUGGCGACUCUGAGCGGUCAACAACCUCUGUCUCACCUACUGUAUAUGCUCUGUCGUAUCGAGCACAAUCUCCGUACUACCCAUCACGUGUUGCCCUACUUCUCCCCAGCAUAUGGGGGUCCGGCACCUCCUCCCAUACAACAGCGCAAAAGGUGGCAUACCAAUGCUCAAGUGAUGGUUGUUAUUGUAGGAAAACUCAGCCAACGGAAAAUACGUGUCCCAACUUCCACCAAAAUCCAAUACACAUGCUUGAAGCAUGUCCUCGAGUGUCUGAAUCGUCCGCUCACUCUGUCUGUCCGUCUGUGGGUGGUAUGCGGUACUGAAAUGCAGCCUCGUAUCCAACUCCUCGUGAAACUUCUUCCAAAAUCUGGAAGUAAAUCGCACAUCUCGAUCUUAAACAAUCGAGAUUGGAACUCCAUGCCGCGAUACCACCUCCCUCACAUACAGCUCUGCCAGCCUCUCAGCAGAAGAGCUCUCACUGAUAGCAAGAAAGUCAGCGCUCUUCGUCAACCUGUCCACAAUCACCCAAAUUGCAUCAACACCUCUAGCAGACCAUGGUAACUUGGUGAUAAAAUCCAUGGUAAUCUGCUCCCAUUUCCACUCGGGAAUCUCUAAUGGCUUCAUCUUACCAUGUGGACGCUAGUGCUCGGCCAUAACCUUGCGACAGGUCAAGCACCUCUCUACGAACCAUGCAACAUCCCUCUUCAUACAGGGCAACCAAUACUCCUUCUUUAGGUCCAAAAACAUCUUAGUAGCCCCGGGAUGGAUCGAGAACUUCGACCUAUGGGCCUCCUCCAUCAAGAUGGUACGCACUCCGCCCACAAACGGUACCCAAAUCCGGCCCUGAAAAGUCAUAAGUCCUCGACUAUCGGUAACGAACUCCGAUAUAUGCCCGAUCACCCGCUCCCUUUUGCGGUUCUCCGGUCUCAUGGCCUCCGCCUGGGCCCCUUGAAUGGUUUCCAACACCGGAGUCAUCACUGUCAACCUCAUACAAACGUCUCAAAUCGGGGCGCUUUCCGCCCUGCGGCUCAAAGCAUCGUCUACAACAUUAGCCUUGCUCGGGUGGUACAAGAUCUCACAAUCAUAAUCCUUUGCCACAUCCAACCAUCUCCUCUGGCGCAUAUUCAGGUUGCGCUGAUCCAUCAAGUACUUCAGACUCUUGUGGUCUGUGUAUAUGGUACACCGAACCCCAUACAGAUAGUAACGCCAGAUCUUGAGGGCGAACACCACAGCCCCCAGCUCUAGAUCGUGGGUGGGAUACCUCGGCUCAUGAGGCUUCAGCUGCCUUGAUGCAUAUGCUAUCACAUGCCCCCUCUGCAUAAGCACUGCUCCCAAACCGGAUAUCGAUGCAUCGCAGUAGACCACAAAAUCUUCCAUCCCUUCCGGGAGUGCGAGCACCGGGGCUUCGCACAACUUCUGGCGAAGUGUCUUAAAUGAGGUCUGUUGUUCCGGACCCCAGGAAAAAGCAACACCCUUCCAGGUUAUCUUCGUAAGUGGCACAACGAUCUUGGAUAAAUCCUUAAUAAAUCUCCGAUAAUAGCCGGCCAAUCACAGAAAGCUCCUGAUCUCGGUGGGUGAUCUCGGCACCUGCCACCUCAUGACCACCUCAAUCUUGGCCGGAACGACCAAUAUCCCAUUCAGGUUGACGAGAUGUCCCAAGAACUGAACUUCCCAUAACCAGAACUCACACUUGGAGAAUUUGGUAUAAAGCCUCUCCAAUCUCAGAACUCCAAGGAUCUCCCUCAAAUGCUCCUCAUGUUGUUCUCUAGACCUCGAAUACACCAAAAUAUCAUCAAUGAAUACGAUCACUGACCGAUCCAGCAUCGGCCUGCACACCCUGUUCAUGAGAUCCAUGAACACAGCUGGUGCAUUGGUGAGUCCAAAAGGCAUCACCAUGAACUCGUAAUGCCCAUAACGAUUUCUGAACGCUGUCUUCUGGAUAUCUUCAUCCCGAACCCUCAUCUGAUGAUAACCCGACCUCAAGUCUAUCUUGGAGAACAAAGACGCCCCCUGCAACUGAUUGAACGGGUCAUCGAUCCUCAACAACGGAUAACGGUUCUUGACCGUCAACUUGUUCAACUCCCGGUAAUCAAUGCACAUCCGGUGUGAACCAUCCUUUUUCUUGACAAAAAGAAUCGGCGCUCCCCAAGGCGAGCUACUCGGUCGAAUAAACCCCUUCCCUAGUAGCUCCAGAAGCUGCGAGGAUAACUCUAGCAUCUCUGGCGGCGCGAGGCGAUAAAGCGCAUUGGCGAUAGGUGCUGAUCCUAGAACCAAAUCGAUAUGAAACUCCACUUGCCUCUCGGGAGGCACACCCGACAACUCCUCAGGAAAAACAUCCGGAAACUCGCACACUAUCGGGACCUCAUCAAUCGAACUUGGCCUCGCAGUGGCCACUCGCGUGACCACCACAUAGGCUACGAAUCCGUUGCAGCCCUAUUGCAAACUCUGCCUCGCCCUGGCAGCCGAACAAAACGCUGACCCACAUCGGGUCCCCUCGCCGUACACCGUAAGUACUCCCCCACUGGGGUCUCGUACCGUCACCAAUUGACGCUCGCAGUCUAUGAUAGCUCUAAAUCAGCUCAACCAAUCCAUGCCCACUAUAACACACACAUCCCCCAUCGCCAUCGGAACCAGAUCUAUCAGAAACUCCACACCAAAGAUCUCAAGGAUACAUCGUCGAAUCACAUCCGUAAUAUACAUUGCUCGCUUAUCAGCUAUGGAAACUCGCAGAGGUCGAGCCAACGCCUCUCUAUGGAUACUAAUGUGCUGACUAAAUGUCAAGGAAACAAAUGACCGACUCGUACCCAAGUCAAAUAAUACCAAAGCAGGCACAAAACUCACAAGAAAAGUACCUAUGCAUAUCAUCAUAUAAGCACAAAAUCUCAACUCAAAUAAAAGAUAAAUACAUAAUACAUACCAGCCAUAACAUCGGGCGCUAUGCGGACCUCCUCCGCAGUCAACUGGAAAGCUCUCCCAUGAGCCUUCGAUGCCUCGGCCUUCACUGGCCGAACCUCGGUAGCUCUAGCAGCAGGCACUCGGCCUUCUGAUGGCCGGUCUGGUUGCAAUGGAAGCAAACCAAAAAUCCCUUGGGGAAAUCCCUCGCGAUGUGCCCCUCCUUCCCGCACUUGUAGCAAACUCCAGCCCUGCAUAACCCCUCGUGACUCUUUCUGAACUUCGCACAAGUGCGGCCCUUCAUGCCUCCAGAUCUCGAAUCAGCGGGUCUCGCCUGCUUGGCUGCUGGCUAAGACUGAGCCGAUCGCCGAUCCACCCUCUGUGACUCGGCCUCCUCCCUGGCCUGAGUCUCCAACUCAAUCUCCCUCUUCCGGGCAUUUUCCUGGAGCUCAGCAAAUGUCCAGUAAGUCGAGUUCGCCACGGACUCCCAAAUAUCUCUCCUCAGAACACUCAGAUACCGGCUUAUGGGAGCUUGCUCAAAAGACACCUGCUCAGGGCAAAACAUCUCCCUCUCAUGAAACUUCCUGGUAAUAACUGUAAUAGAAUCAAUACCCUGCUUGAGGGUCAAGAACUCCCGAAUCAACCGUUCCCUCUCCACCGGGGGAACAUACUCGUCUCUGAACAUGGCGGUGAACCUCUCCCAGGUCACCUUAGAAAUCUCCGCCAAAGUGAAGCUCGCCGUCAUGAACAUCCACCAAUCCUUCACUCCCAAGCGGAACUGGUUCAGAGCGAACCGUACUCUCAAGUGCUCUGGACAAGAACACGUAUAGACACAUCCCUCGAUGUCAGAGAUCCAUCUCAUCGCAGCAAUCGGGUCCUGCAUCCCAUCUUACUCUGGUGGCUUUGUUGGAUUAGUGUCUAAGUCAAUAACUAUUUUGGUAUGUACUUCACCCGAUGGUGCAUGGUCCUUUUGGGUUGCCUUCACCAAAGCAACUUGUUAGGCUGAAUUAUGGAGAAAAAGGAUUAAAUAUGAUUUAUUAAUAUAUUAUGAGAAUAAUAUAUAUUAAUGGAGAAAUCAUAUUGUUUAAUUAAUAUUAGUCAAUAAUUAAUUGGUAAUUAGUUUUGUGACUAAAAGAGAUUAAUUAAACUUAAGGGACUGGAAUUGUAAUUAUAAGAUAAUUGCAAUUUGGGCCAUGGAUUGUCUUGAAUCAAGGGGUGGACGAAUUCUACGGGGAAGCCCAUAAGGAAAUCGUCCAAGGCCCUAAGGAAAGGGGUCCAUGGGUUGCUUAGGGCUUAAGCAACCAAAUUAGGGUUUCCUUGUCAGAUAACCCUAAUAGCCUCCUAUAUAUAUGGAUCCCUUAUGACCCAAAAACGUGGCUAAGACUUCUCUCAGGUUUGUACACGGUUUUGGCAGCCUCCAUCCUCUUUCCUCUUCAUCCUCUUGCUUAUGGUGUUUGUGAACCAUUAGAGGAGUGACACUUGUGACUCUAAGCCUUCUGAAGUCAAUUCAAGGAGGAAUUGGGAUUGUUAUGAUACAUAACAAUUAAGGUAAUAUCAUAAACCUAAUUAUAUGUUAAUAUUGAUUUCCAUAUGCUAGAAUUAGGGUUUAUAGUCUUGGAUUCAAAGCAUGUACAAUAGAGAAACCUAGAUCCAAGCAUUAGGGUUUGUAUGAGCACAUAGGAUGUUUUUAGACCAAAACCCAUCANCCAUGAUUGGUUUCUAUUGUAUUGUUGCUUGAUAUGUUUGCAAAAUCGAUUUUUGGGCUUUCUGGAUAAGGAACUCCGCGAGUACUACAGUGUACUCGGCGAGUAGACCUCAACUCGGCGAGUACAGUGUGGUACUCGGCGAGUUCGAGCGUUAGAUGGAGCAUACUUUGGGAUUUCUUGUUGUUUUUGCUAAUGGAUAGCUACCUCAUCAUGUUAGAUCAAUAUUAAUUCGAUUAUAUGAUAUAUUUGACUAUAAUUUUGAUCUAAUUGAAGAUAUUUAUCAAUUAAUAAGAUAUUUGUUUCCUUAUGUGAUAAUUGAUUAAUUAUUUUGAGUAAAUUGAUAAAUUGUUUUGCAAGAAAUCAUUAAAUAAAUCAAAUAUGGAUAAUUAUGUGAUUAAAUGUUAAUUUAGAUUAUUUGUUAUUUGAUCCUUGUUGUUAUGAAAAGUUUCAUAUUUUGCCCUUUAGGUUUUAUAGUUUAAAUUUGAACCCAAAAGUUUUGUUGUUUUGAAAUUUAAAUAGUUGAAACCCUAAUGUUUUGAAAAAGGUUUCAAAACUUGCCCUCAAGUUUUGGAAUUUAAAUUUUGAUUAAAUAGUUUAAUUUUGAUGUAUAUUUAAAUUCUAAACCCUAAUGUGUUGAAAUGUUUCAAAACUUGCCCUCAAGUUUUGGAAUUUAAAAGUUGAUUAAAAGUUUAAUUAGGAAUGUUAAAUUCUAAAACUCUAGUAUAGUUUUGAAAAAGUUCAAAUCACACCCUUAUGGUUUUAUUAAUUAAUUAAGGUGUAUAAUUAAAAGAAGUUUAAUAAAUCCAUAAAAGUUUAGGUUUACAAUUUAAUUGAAUUAAAGGUAUAAUUGUUAAAUUAGACCACCUAGUAUUUUAAAAGUAUAAAAUACACCCUAUACUAUAUAUAACAUUAAAAGUCUAACAUUAUAUAUAUGUAUGAGUAAAAGUCAGUCUUACCGUUAGUAGGCCUCAUUCACGAAGCUGGUCUAUAAGGGGUGUUUAAGGAAAUUGCCUAUAAAAUGGCGAUUGAAUGGGUAUCCACUCUUACCCACCGCACUCUUGACUAGUGGAGGGUCGUUAGCCGAACGGGUAGGAUAGGACGAAACCUUCCAUUAUAAGUAUAAUGAAUUAUUAAAGUAACUAAAUGUUUUCAUAAAAUUCCC
RNAcentral lists this long non-coding RNA (41368 nucleotides) under Lactuca sativa (garden lettuce). RNAcentral describes it as "long non-coding RNA (LSAT_LNC000371)". The record is from RNAcentral. Lineage: Eukaryota; Viridiplantae; Streptophyta; Magnoliopsida; Asterales; Asteraceae.